GGGUCUGUCUGCUUAUCCCUAGACUGGGAGAAGAAACCCCGAGCCCUUCCUUUAGCGCAAGUCUUGGAACUUCCUCCUCCGCCCCAGGAGACCCAGUCCCAGGGUAGCUGGUGUCCAAGGUGGCCGCGCAGCUGGGAUGUUCAGAGAAGGGAGAGGGGCUUCGCUCAGCAGAAGCUGGAUCAGCACGGACAGAACACCUCCGCUCUGCUCCACAGUCCCCGGCGAACUCAGGGGACAGAGCACCGAAUCUUGAUCCGCUGCCUUUGAAAGAAAGAUCAGGGCUCUAGAAGCCAAGUUUGGCUCAGUCCUAACCUCCUCGCCGUUCGGGCGGUGGUCCUUGCCGUGGCACCUGGGCUGUGGACAGCCGGGCGUGUCAUUGUGUGCGGGUGUAGCCGAUUACCGGCAGGUGGACCCAGAGGGGUCCCACAGGACCAGCCAGCCAAGAGGGUCCUGGGCCUCAUGCAGCAGAGAAAUCAGGCGUGAGUGGAGAGGAAGUGGGCACAGUUUGUUGAGGACGUACAGACAGACGCGGACAAUGUCUAGGAGGCCUGGAAAGGGAACAAGAGUCUCAUGUCUGCUUGGGGCCUGGGGUUUUUGCGGAGGGUGGCGGUUCGGUGCACGUGUCUUCCGAGGCAUCCAGAACAGAGAGGGGUUAGGUGUUCGCCGUUAAGUCCCUGCUCUGAGCCAGGGGUCUUGAUGAGUCGGUGGUCUUGGAAAACGUUCGGGACGACUCCCGCCCCGUCACUCCUUAGAUGUCAUCUGUUUUGCUGGAAGACUCCAAAGGAACCAUUAAUCCCUUGACCUUUACCAGGAGGACAUACAUCAUCUGUGUCCGUGAGGUUCUCUGUCUCACGCUACCCAGGCGGCAUGCGCAGUCCCUCUAAAAUACCCAACGGAGCCGUCCCCGGCCAACGUGUGACCUGUGCAGAUGGAGCCUGGCGAGUCUGGCAUUUACCUGUGCUUCGUUAGAAUGUUACACUCUUCGCCCGAGGAGCGCAAGAGAGAGACAGAGCAUGAACAGGGGAGGAGCAGAGAAAGAGGGAGACACAGAAUCGGA
This is a long non-coding RNA of Prionailurus viverrinus (fishing cat), 1057 nucleotides long. RefSeq lists it as uncharacterized. The record is from RefSeq and is a predicted model, not a curated record. The transcript is spliced from 3 exons. NCBI's taxonomy places the organism in Eukaryota, Metazoa, Chordata, Mammalia, Carnivora, Felidae.